Molecule: ribosomal RNA, 534 nt
Filed under: uncultured bacterium
Lineage: Bacteria
Description: bacterial SSU rRNA
Rfam family: Bacterial small subunit ribosomal RNA
Source: RNAcentral
UCGGCAAUGGACGAAAGUCUGACCGAGCAACGCCGCGUGUGCGAUGAAGGCCUUCGGGUUGUAAAGCACUGUCGAGGGGAAACAAGCCGUAAGGUUGAGUGACCCCUGGAGGAAGCACGGGCUAAGUUCGUGCCAGCAGCCGCGGUAAGACGAACCGUGCAAACGUUAUUCGGAAUCACUGGGCUUAAAGGGCGCGUAGGCGGGUGAUCAAGUCAAUGGUGAAAUCCUCCAGCUUAACUGGAGAAGUGCCUUUGAUACUGAUUGUCUAGAGGGAGGUAGGGGCAUGUGGAACUUCAGGUGGAGCGGUGAAAUGCGUAGAUAUCUGAAGGAACGCCAGUGGCGAAAGCGAUGUGCUGGACCUCUUCUGACGCUGAGGCGCGAAAGCUAGGGGAUCAAACGGGAUUAGAUACCCCGGUAGUCUUGGCUGUAAACGAUGAGCACUUGAUUGAAGGGUCCUCCAUAGCCUUUCAGUCGUAGCGAAAGUGUUAAGUGCUCCGCCUGGGGAGUAUGGUCGCAAGGCUGAAACUCAAAGAA